This 106-nucleotide unclassified non-coding RNA is filed under the name soil metagenome. RNAcentral's name for it is "partial internal transcribed spacer 1". The record is from RNAcentral.
GUGAACGCCCUCACGGGCUUAUACUAUUCCAAACCUCUGUGAACCGUGCCCUUCGGGGCUAUUUUACAAACAUGGUGUAAUGAACGUCAUAUAUCAUAAUAAAACA